AUUGAACGCUGGCGGUAUGCUUUACACAUGCAAGUCGAACGGCAGCACAGGGAGCUUGCUCCUGGGUGGCGAGUGGCUGACGGGUGAGUAAUGUAUAGGAAGGAGCCUGGUAGUGGGGGGUAAAUACUGGAAAGAGUGGCACAUACCGACCGCAUACUAUGUAUGAAAGCGAGGGACCUUCCUGCCUCGUUCUACCGAAGGGAUCGAUCUCGGAUUAGUUUGUUGGUGGGGUAAAGGCCUACCAAGCCUGCGAUCUGUAGCUGGUCUGAGAGGACGAUCAGCCACACUGGGACUGAGACACGGCCCAGACCCCUACGGGAGGCAGCAGUGGGGAAUAUUGGACAAUGGGCGCAAGCCUGAUCCAGCAAUGCCGCGUGCAGGACGAAGGCCUUCGGGUUGUAAACUGCUUUUGUACAGAACGAAAAGUCGCUGGCUAAUAUCUAGAUAUCAUGACGGUACUGUAAGAAUAAGCACCGGCUAACUACGUG
This 488-nucleotide ribosomal RNA is filed under the name uncultured bacterium. Its description in RNAcentral is "partial 16S ribosomal RNA". It matches the Rfam family "Bacterial small subunit ribosomal RNA", at positions 30 to 507 of the family's 1533-position model. The record is from RNAcentral.